CUCUUGUUUUUUUUGGCAAACUAUACCCAAAGGCCAAAGCAGAAGCAGAAGUAGUUUGAAAGGGUAAAAUAAGCACUUUCUUCGAUUAUCAAAAAGCUAAGUAUCACGGACUCACGGUACCGCCUUCAACCUGCGCCCCUUGCUUCUUUGUUUCCGGGUACUUCUUCAGAGAUUCUUCAUAACUUGAUGUACGGCUACUCCCCUACGUGUCCGUCCUAUUCCCCAUACGACUACAGCCGCGACUAUGAACCAGGUCCUGAACUAUGUCUUCGGUUUCCUGACAAAAAGGAGACCGGAUCGUUAGAUGCUAGAUUUGAUCAAUCUCCGGUACUAAAAAAAAUUCUAGAUUACUAUGUUGAUCAAAAACCUUCCAGAGAUUCACUAUGGUUUUCUAAAGAUGAUCAGUAUGCCAAAACUACUGUCGACAAAAAAAAACUGUGGCGUAUCUAUUCCAAGAUUACACCUUCAGUUGUAUCCGUGUCUUCAUUUUUUGGCGUGGAGAGGAAAAUUGAUUGCUCAGGUCUCAUAAUAGACUGGAAUUCAAUUGAGAAUGAGGCAACCGUAUUGACUUCUGCAAAACUCCUUUGGAGUCCAAAGGAUACCAGUUUAGAAUUUCAUCUAAUUGUAAGAACGGCAGAUGGAACUUUGUUUCUUGCUCGAGAAGACUACGUGGACUAUCAUUAUAACCUUCUUACUUUGAAAAUCAAGUCCACAAUAGAACUAAAAGUUGUAGAUUUGAGAUGUAGGCAAGCAGAAUAUGUUGAACGGAUGAGUGUCAUUGCUUUGGGUCGUGCUUUUCAAACGUGCCUUCCAUUUGAUUAUGUAGGAGAACUAUCUCUUGCAUCCCCAAAUUAUGGUUGUGACGAGCUUUUGAUGUCUACUUGUAAAUUUUCUGAGAUUUGUGAAGGUGGACCACUUAUCACUGAUACUGGAUAUGUGAUUGGUAUUAACUUUAAGGAUGCGCAUUCACUUCCUGCAGCGGUUAUCUUAUCAUGCCUAGAGAUGUGGAGGUCCUUUGGUACUGUUGUGCGCCCUUGGUUUGGAAUGAGCGUUGUUGAUGUGGAUCAAUUAUCUUAUUGGAUAUGGGAAAGAUAUAAUAUACCGGUAGAAGGGUCAUAUGUUGUCGUCAAAGAGGUAUUGAAAGGAUCAAUUGCUGACAAAAAUGAUGUACAUCCCGGGGACUUAGUUUCUACAUGUAAUGGAGUUUCGAUACGAUCUGCCAAGCAGUAUUCCCAGUUAUUGUCCGAGGCAUCACAAGUUUUGACGGCAUGUGCUGAUUCAAGCCAACAAAGUUUCACAGUAAACAACCUAGGAGGACAGAGGGAGUACGUAAUUGUACUCAUUUCUUCAUCAAGUUUCAACUUACUACCUACUUGGCAUACAGCUACAUGUAACAACAUUAUGACUGAAUUUGCAUCAGCUUGUCAUAAAUCCAUUUGAUCGUCAUACUGAUAAUAUUAGCAUUGAGGCUGAGCAAGUUUCGGUCGAUGACAAGAGGUUUAACUAUCGUUGGCGGGGAAUAUCAUGUGGUGAAUGGAACAAGAUCAAUGAAUUGCUAAGAAAUCCCGGGCACCUGCGGUAUGACCCGAGUGCGCCUCGGUAUACACCAACAUGAUAAGAUUAUUGGUACACAUUUUAGCAUAAUUCUUAUUAGAGUCCGUGUCCCUGAUGCUAUCAGCGGGUAAAAAUUACUAGACGGCUUAAGCUAAAUUAUUGACGUAUACACGGGUGUUUCAGUGUCAUUCAGCCGGAAAUUAUCUCAUUCUAGAAUUCUUUUUAUAUUACUAAGUGAAGCUGCAUUGCAGGUACCCAUGAUAUCGGCAAACCUUAAAUUUCUUAAUUAUAAACGAAGCCACGCCGAUAAGAUUGCUAAGAUCCCGCCAAUCGAGUAAAAUAGUUGAUCAAAUGAUGGAUUAAAUUAAUUCAAUGUGGAAAUUCAAAAUUAAUUAAUCAAUUAAAUGUGUUUAAGCAAUAAAUAAUUAUUAAUUCCAUGUGCAGGCAGUGUAUUAUGCGGAA
Molecule: RNA transcript, 2016 nt
Organism: Daucus carota subsp. sativus
Lineage: Eukaryota; Viridiplantae; Streptophyta; Magnoliopsida; Apiales; Apiaceae
Gene name: putative protease Do-like 14
Exons: 12
Source: RefSeq, a predicted model, not a curated record